GGCGCGGUACCCAAGUGGUUAAGGGGGGGGACUGCAAAUCCCCUAUUCAGCGGUUCGAAUCCGCUCCGCGCCUCCA
RNAcentral lists this transfer RNA (76 nucleotides) under Armatimonadota bacterium. RNAcentral describes it as "Armatimonadetes bacterium (activated sludge metagenome) tRNA-Cys". It matches the Rfam family "tRNA". From Rfam's summary of the family: Transfer RNA (tRNA) molecules are approximately 80 nucleotides in length. The record is from RNAcentral. Lineage: Bacteria; Bacillati; Armatimonadota.